RNAcentral lists this ribosomal RNA (888 nucleotides) under Bacillus cereus. RNAcentral describes it as "bacterial SSU rRNA". It matches the Rfam family "Bacterial small subunit ribosomal RNA", at positions 51 to 873 of the family's 1533-position model. The record is from RNAcentral. Lineage: Bacteria; Bacillati; Bacillota; Bacilli; Caryophanales; Bacillaceae.
CUAACCACCAGUCGAGCGAAUGGAUUAAGAGCUUGCUCUUAUGAAGUUAGCGGCGGACGGGUGAGUAACACGUGGGUAACCUGCCCAUAAGACUGGGAUAACUCCGGGAAACCGGGGCUAAUACCGGAUAACAUUUUGAACUGCAUGGUUCGAAAUUGAAAGGCGGCUUCGGCUGUCACUUAUGGAUGGACCCGCGUCGCAUUAGCUAGUUGGUGAGGUAACGGCUCACCAAGGCAACGAUGCGUAGCCGACCUGAGAGGGUGAUCGGCCACACUGGGACUGAGACACGGCCCAGACUCCUACGGGAGGCAGCAGUAGGGAAUCUUCCGCAAUGGACGAAAGUCUGACGGAGCAACGCCGCGUGAGUGAUGAAGGCUUUCGGGUCGUAAAACUCUGUUGUUAGGGAAGAACAAGUGCUAGUUGAAUAAGCUGGCACCUUGACGGUACCUAACCAGAAAGCCACGGCUAACUACGUGCCAGCAGCCGCGGUAAUACGUAGGUGGCAAGCGUUAUCCGGAAUUAUUGGGCGUAAAGCGCGCGCAGGUGGUUUCUUAAGUCUGAUGUGAAAGCCCACGGCUCAACCGUGGAGGGUCAUUGGAAACUGGGAGACUUGAGUGCAGAAGAGGAAAGUGGAAUUCCAUGUGUAGCGGUGAAAUGCGUAGAGAUAUGGACGAACACCACUGGCCAAGGCGACUUUCUGGUCUGUAACUGACACUGACGCGCGAAAACCUGCGGAGCAGCCACGAUUAUGAUACCCUGGUAGUCCACGCCCUCAACCAUCAGUGCCACAUGGAAGAGAGGUUUCCUCCUCUCGUGCGAAAAUUUACACCUUUAAAUCACCCCCCCCCGGAGUAUCCGCGCGCGGUCGCAACACACAUGAAAAAAACA